CGUGGGCAACCUGCCCUACAGAUGGGGAUAACUCCGGGAAACCGGGGCUAAUACCGAAUAAUCAGUUCCUUCGCAUGAAGGAACUCUGAAAGACGGCAUCUCGCUGUCACUGUAGGAUGGGCCCGCGGCGCAUUAGCUAGUUGGUGGGGUAAUGGCCUACCAAGGCAACGAUGCGUAGCCGACCUGAGAGGGUGAUCGGCCACACUGGGACUGAGACACGGCCCAGACUCCUACGGGAGGCAGCAGUAGGGAAUCUUCCACAAUGGACGAAAGUCUGAUGGAGCAAUGCCGCGUGAGUGAAGAAGGUUUUCGGAUCGUAAAGCUCUGUUGCGAGGGAAGAACACGUACGGGAGUAACUGCCCGUACCUUGACGGUACCUCGUCAGAAAGCCACGGCUAACUACGUGCCAGCAGCCGCGGUAAUACGUAGGUGGCAAGCGUUGUCCGGAAUUAUUGGGCGUAAAGCGCGCGCAGGCGGUCCUUUAAGUCUGAUGUGAAAGCCCACGGCUCAACCGUGGAGGGUCAUUGGAAACUGAGGGACUUGAGUACAGAAGAGGAAAGCGGAAUUCCACGUGUAGCGGUGAAAUGCGUAGAGAUGUGGAGGAACACCAGUGGCGAAGGCGGCUUUCUGGUCUGUAACUGACGCUGAGGCGCGAAAGCG
RNAcentral lists this ribosomal RNA (660 nucleotides) under uncultured bacterium. Its description in RNAcentral is "bacterial SSU rRNA". It matches the Rfam family "Bacterial small subunit ribosomal RNA", at positions 116 to 761 of the family's 1533-position model. The record is from RNAcentral.